AAGUCGUAACAAGGUUUCCGUAGGUGAACCUGCGGAAGGAUCAUUACAAAUCUUUGGAGGCUAGUCGCCUAGUGCGCUAGUCUCACAUUAGCACAAGGUCGCAAGGCCUUGAUGUUUACGCUUGUUUGUUUGACAGAGUUAGUUGAGAAAAAAUAAAGACAACUUUUAACAAUGGAUCUCUUGGCUCUU
This 189-nucleotide unclassified non-coding RNA is filed under the name Rozellomycota sp. Its description in RNAcentral is "Cryptomycota sp. partial contains small subunit ribosomal RNA, internal transcribed spacer 1, and 5.8S ribosomal RNA". The stretch from base 1 to 46 matches the Rfam family "Eukaryotic small subunit ribosomal RNA", at positions 1786 to 1831 of the family's 1831-position model. Lineage: Eukaryota; Fungi; Rozellomycota. The record is from RNAcentral.